RNAcentral lists this transfer RNA (83 nucleotides) under mine drainage metagenome. RNAcentral describes it as "tRNA-Ser". It matches the Rfam family "tRNA". Rfam says of the family: Transfer RNA (tRNA) molecules are approximately 80 nucleotides in length. Their secondary structure includes four short double-helical elements and three loops (D, anti-codon, and T loops). Further hydrogen bonds mediate the characteristic L-shaped molecular structure. tRNAs have two regions of fundamental functional importance: the anti-codon, which is responsible for specific mRNA codon recognition, and the 3' end, to which the tRNAs corresponding amino acid is attached (by aminoacyl-tRNA synthetases). tRNAs cope with the degeneracy of the genetic code in two manners: having more than one tRNA (with a specific anti-codon) for a particular amino acid; and 'wobble' base-pairing, i.e. permitting non-standard base-pairing at the 3rd anti-codon position. The record is from RNAcentral.
GCUGAGGUAGCCUAGCCUGGUAGGGCGCCGGUCUUGAAAACCGGUGGCGUUCCGCCUCGGGAGUUCAAAUCUCCCCCUCAGCG